GUGAUUCAUGAAGGAGUGAGUUUGGAGAGGAAAGAAGGAGAAUAAACGAAGGUUUAUAUGAAGCUCAGGCCUGAACUCGCGCUGCGAGAGAG
Molecule: long non-coding RNA, 92 nt
Organism: Sinocyclocheilus grahami
Lineage: Eukaryota; Metazoa; Chordata; Actinopteri; Cypriniformes; Cyprinidae
Exons: 2
Source: RefSeq, a predicted model, not a curated record